GGGACCGUAGCUCAGCAUGGUUAGAGCGUUCGGCUGAUAACCGAAAGGUCCCCGGUUCAAAUCCGGGCGGUCCCA
RNAcentral lists this transfer RNA (75 nucleotides) under Nitrososphaerota archaeon. RNAcentral describes it as "Thaumarchaeota archaeon tRNA-Ile". It matches the Rfam family "tRNA". From Rfam's summary of the family: Transfer RNA (tRNA) molecules are approximately 80 nucleotides in length. Their secondary structure includes four short double-helical elements and three loops (D, anti-codon, and T loops). Further hydrogen bonds mediate the characteristic L-shaped molecular structure. tRNAs have two regions of fundamental functional importance: the anti-codon, which is responsible for specific mRNA codon recognition, and the 3' end, to which the tRNAs corresponding amino acid is attached (by aminoacyl-tRNA synthetases). tRNAs cope with the degeneracy of the genetic code in two manners: having more than one tRNA (with a specific anti-codon) for a particular amino acid; and 'wobble' base-pairing, i.e. permitting non-standard base-pairing at the 3rd anti-codon position. RNAcentral also lists the same sequence under 2 other names. Lineage: Archaea; Thermoproteati; Nitrososphaerota. The record is from RNAcentral.